AAGUUAAAAAUCUUCAUGUGGUAUCUUCGAAGGGGAGUUGUGCUAACCAAAGACAAUCUCGCCCGUCGCAAUUGGCAAGGAAGCAAGAAAUAUAGUUUUCAUACUCAUGACGAGGCAAUCAAACACCUCUUCUUCCAAUGCAAGUUUGCACAUUCUAUGUGGUCAAUCAUCCAAAUAGCAUUCAUUUUGUAUCUGCCCACAAGUGUUGCCAAUUUUUGGUCACUGUCAGUAUUGCGAAAUAGGUUCAAAACGCUAAUGAGGCUGGGAGCAUAUGCCUUAUUGUGGGCUUUGGCUACUUGGUCUACGCUACAUUAA
This 315-nucleotide ribosomal RNA is filed under the name Triticum aestivum (bread wheat). RNAcentral's name for it is "partial small subunit ribosomal RNA". The record is from RNAcentral. Lineage: Eukaryota; Viridiplantae; Streptophyta; Magnoliopsida; Poales; Poaceae.